GAGAAGAUAGUGGCGGACGGGUGAGUAACACGUGGGWAACCUGCCCAUAAGAGGGGGAUAACAUCCGGAAACGGUGCUAAUACCGCAUAGUUUUCUUGAUCGCAUGAUYGAGAAAGGAAAGACGGCCUUUGUGCUGUCGCUUAUGGAUGGACCCGCGGCGUAUUAGUUAGUUGGUGAGGUAAUGGCUCACCAAGACGAUGAUACGUAGCCGACCUGAGAGGGUGAUCGGCCACAUUGGGACUGAGACACGGCCCAAACUCCUACGGGAGGCAGCAGUAGGGAAUCUUCCGCAAUGGACGAAAGUCUGACGGAGCAACACGCGUGAGUGAAGAAGGUUUUCGGAUCGUAAAACUCUGUUGUCAGAGAAGAACAAGUCGGAGAGUAACUGCUCCGACCUUGACGGUAUCUGACCAGAAAGCCACGGCUAACUACGUGCCAGCAGCCGCGGUAAUACGUAGGUGGCAAGCGUUGUCCGGAUUUAUUGGGCGUAAAGCGAGCGCAGSGUUCCUUAAGUCUGAUGUGAAAGCCCACGCUCAACCGUGAAGGUCAUUGGAAACUGGGGAACUUGAGUGCAGAAGAGGAGAGUGGAAUUCCAUGUGUAGCGGUGAAAUGCGUAGAUAUAUGGAGGAACACCAGUGGCGAAGGCGACUCUCUGGUCUGUAACUGACGCUGAGGCUCGAAAGCGUGGGGAGCAAACAGGAUUAGAUACCCUGGUAGUCCACGCCGUAAACGAUGAGUGCUAAGUGUUGGAGGGUUUCCACCCUUCAGUGCUGCAGCUAACGCAUUAAGCACUCCGCCUGGGGAGUACGGCCGCAAGGCUGAAACUCAAAGGAAUUGACGGGGACCGCACAAGCGUGGAGCAUGUGGUUUAAUUCGAAGCAACGCGAAGAACCUUACCAGGUCUUGACAUCCUUUGACAAUCCUAGAGAUAGGACUUUCCUCGGGGACAAAGUGACAGGUGGUGCAUGGUUGUCGUCAGCUCGUGUCGUGAGAUGUUGGGUUAAGUCCCGCAACGAGCGCAACCCCUAUUGUUAGUUGCCAGCAUUCAGUUGGGCACUCUAAUGAGACUGCCGGUGACAAACCGGAGGAAGGUGGGGAUGACGUCAAAUCAUCAUGCCCCUUAUGACCUGGGCUACACACGUGCUACAAUGGAUGGUACAACGAGCAGCAAGACCGCGAGGUCAAGCGAAUCUCUUAAAGCCAUUCUCAGUUCGGAUUAAGGCUGCAACUCGCCUGCAUGAAGCCGGAAUCGCUAGUAAUCGCGGAU
Molecule: ribosomal RNA, 1267 nt
Filed under: Trichococcus collinsii
Lineage: Bacteria; Bacillati; Bacillota; Bacilli; Lactobacillales; Carnobacteriaceae
Description: bacterial SSU rRNA
Rfam family: Bacterial small subunit ribosomal RNA
Source: RNAcentral